RNAcentral lists this ribosomal RNA (501 nucleotides) under uncultured bacterium. RNAcentral's name for it is "partial 16S ribosomal RNA". It matches the Rfam family "Bacterial small subunit ribosomal RNA", at positions 30 to 523 of the family's 1533-position model. The record is from RNAcentral.
AUUGAACGCUGGCGGCGGGCUUAACACAUGCAAGUCGAGCGGGGGAAGGUAGCUUGCUACCGGACCUAGCGGCGGACGGGUGAGUAAUGCUUAGGAAUCUGCCUCUUAGUGGGGGCCAACAUCUCGAAAGGGAUGCUAAUACAGCAUACGUCCUCCGGGAGAAAGCAGGGGAUCUAUGGACCUUGCGCUAAUAGAUGAGCAUAAGUCGGAUUAGCUAGUUGGUGGGGUAAAGGCCUACCAAGGCGACGAUCUGUAGCGGGUCUGAGAGGAUGAUCCGCCACACUGGGACUGAGACACGGCCCAGACUCCUACGGGAGGCAGAAGUGGGGAAUCUUGGGCAAUGGGCGGAAGCCUGAUCCAGCCAGGCCGCGUGGGUGAAGAAGGCCUUAUGGUUGUAAAGCACUUUAAGCGAGGAGGAGGCAACUUUAGUUAAUACCUAGAGAUAGUGGACGUUACUCGCAGAAUAAGCACCGGCUAACUCUGUGCCAGCAGCCGCGGUAA